ACAUGUCAAACAUAUAACAUCACAAUUUCCAAAUGCUGACUCAUAUAAAUAUAUCAUACCAAUUCAAUACACAUUCUUAAUUAAUUUCUUAUUGAAACAUUCAUUUACAUUGACUUAAAACUAUAAUUAUCUAUAUCCACAUCCUUCUUUUUAUAACAAAUUUCAUCAAUUCUUUAGUUUUUAUCAAACGUUUCAACCUUUUUCCAUCUUUGGCUACAUAUUCUAAGGUAUGGCACCAUUUUAUAUAUUUAUUAAACUGGUAAGUAAAAAUUCAAAUGAGUACUUACAAUUCUCUUGAGCUUAACAAAAUUAAACCAGUUAUUCCUUCAAUCUAAGGCUUUGUCUUUUCCUUUGCUAUUCAUGAAAACGUAAUAAAUAAUAUGCUCAAAAUAUCCAAAUCAUAAUUGUUGAGGGCAGAAACGUUCCUGGACCGCAACACCGAGAGCGACAAUUUUCAAGAGUGGGAGAUGCUGAUAGGGUGAGCGAGUGAACACGAAACAUUCCCAAGAUGAUCUGUGAGAUGAUGAUGAUGAUGUUUGAGAUGAUCUUAGUGAGAUGGUGGUUCCCCACGGAGUAAAAGACAAACAUUCGAGAUGAUCUUUAAGUUAUCUAGGUUGUUGCUAUGAA
This 627-nucleotide long non-coding RNA is filed under the name Gossypium barbadense (sea-island cotton). RNAcentral's name for it is "long non-coding RNA (GBAR_LNC017621)". Lineage: Eukaryota; Viridiplantae; Streptophyta; Magnoliopsida; Malvales; Malvaceae. The record is from RNAcentral.